AUUGAACGCUGGCGGAAUGCUUUACACAUGCAAGUCGAACGGCAGCACGGACUUCGGUCUGGUGGCGAGUGGCGAACGGGUGAGUAAUGUAUCGGAACGUGCCCAGUCGUGGGGGAUAACGUAGUGAAAAUUACGCUAAUACCGCAUACGAUCUAUGGAUGAAAGCGGGGGAUCGCAAGACCUCGCGCGAUUGGAGCGGCCGAUAUCAGAUUAGGUAGUUGGUGGGGUAAAGGCCCACCAAGCCAACGAUCUGUAGCUGGUCUGAGAGGACGACCAGCCACACUGGAACUGAGACACGGUCCAGACUCCUACGGGAGGCAGCAGUGGGGAACUUUGGACGAUGGGCGAAAGCCUGAUCCAGCCAUUCCGCGUGCAGGAUGAAGGCCCUCGGGUUGUAAACUGCUUUUGUACAGAACGAAAAGGUUUCUACUAAUACUAGGAGCUCAUGACGGUACUGUAAGAGUAAGCACCGGCUAGCUACGUGCCAGCCGCCGCCGUAA
This 500-nucleotide ribosomal RNA is filed under the name uncultured bacterium. RNAcentral describes it as "partial 16S ribosomal RNA". It matches the Rfam family "Bacterial small subunit ribosomal RNA", at positions 30 to 523 of the family's 1533-position model. The record is from RNAcentral.